UUGGAGCAUGAUCAAAUAGAA
Molecule: non-coding RNA, 21 nt
Filed under: Caenorhabditis elegans
Lineage: Eukaryota; Metazoa; Nematoda; Chromadorea; Rhabditida; Rhabditidae
Source: RNAcentral